GGAAACCUUGUUACGACUUUUACUUCCUCUAAAUGACCGAGUUUGACCAAGUUUCCGGCUCUGGGGGGUCGUUGCCAACCCUCCUGAGCCAGUCCCAAGGCCUCACUGAGCCAUUCAAUCGGUAGUAGCGAC
This 132-nucleotide ribosomal RNA is filed under the name uncultured Eurotiomycetes. Its description in RNAcentral is "partial 18S ribosomal RNA". The record is from RNAcentral. Lineage: Eukaryota; Fungi; Ascomycota; Eurotiomycetes.